GCGGGCGUGGCGAAAUUGGUAAACGCAGCAGACUUAAAAUCUGCCGGUCGCAAGGCCUUGCCGGUUCAAGCCCGGCCGUCCGCACCA
Molecule: transfer RNA, 87 nt
Filed under: Hyphomonas sp.
Lineage: Bacteria; Pseudomonadati; Pseudomonadota; Alphaproteobacteria; Hyphomonadales; Hyphomonadaceae
Also listed under: 2 other names
Description: tRNA-Leu
Rfam family: tRNA
About the family: Transfer RNA (tRNA) molecules are approximately 80 nucleotides in length. Their secondary structure includes four short double-helical elements and three loops (D, anti-codon, and T loops).
Source: RNAcentral